Molecule: long non-coding RNA, 1157 nt
Organism: Bos taurus (domestic cattle)
Lineage: Eukaryota; Metazoa; Chordata; Mammalia; Artiodactyla; Bovidae
Source: Ensembl
GCCCAGCAUUCAGGCAAGCCCCAUUGCUCCAAGGCUAGCAGAAACGCAGAGGAAAACCAGCCUGCUCGCUUCUGGUGUUCCCCCUGCUUUGCCAGAACCAUCCUGCCAUCCCCAGAAGUGAAUCCAGCCUCCAUCUCAUGGGGCGCUUGUCUACCUGUGCAGGCUCACUCACCUGCAGCCCUAGACCACGUUUAUGGUCCAAGUCCCUGUCCUUCUUCCCACCUGGAUUCACAUCUGCCCAGUGUAGAGCAGCUCAAGAUGGCCCAGGGGGACCACAUGACUCAAGGGCAGAGGGGACCUCAGGUGAACACACAGGAAGGGCAUUCACAGAGGCACCAGACAGAGGAGGGAGGGUAGAACUGCAGGUGAGAGGCAUCUCACCAAUCACAACAGGGGGCUGGAAAGUGGAGGAGGGAAGGAGACAGAGGACAAGCAUCGCCAAGGGCUCCUGGACCCACAGACCGAGAAGCAGGCCGGCCUGGGGCUCUUGCCAGAGAGAAGAAAACUGGAGAUGGCUCACGGCACAGAAGGGCAGCCAGGCCCCAGCUAGGACCUGCAUUCUCCCUCCUCCGGUUCUCCUCGGCCCAGGACAAGCAGAUCUGAGGGCUCUGGAGGAAUCCCCCUUGUCAUCCCCACGUUCACGAUUAGCACACCCAACAGGUGAGAUGCAAGAAGCCCAAACAGGGCAGGAUUCAGAGUGUCCACCGUCUGUGAACGUGACCUCUCAAAGCCUUGGUUUCCCAGCCUGCAAAGAAGGGAAUAAGAAUUCCUACUAUUCCAAGCUGUUGCAGGCAUUCAGUGAGAUAAUUUCCAUGAAGUAUUCUGCACAGUGCUUAGCAUCUAAGAGUUCCAUAUGAGGACAAGAUUAUCAGCAUUUUCUUAACUUCUCUGGUUUUUCUUCACCCCCAACUCAUCCUUCAGCUCUCUGUGCAAACAUCACUUUUUCCAAGCCACCUCCCCACUCAGAGAUGGGGUGUUAGAGAGGGUUCAGAUGGUCAGACAGACCUCAGUGUUAGUUCCAGCCUGGACACCUCGCCAUGGCUCAGUUUCCUCAUCUGUGACAAGGGAACAAUAAUGACCGUACCUCCCUCCCUCCAAGACUCAUUGUGAGGACUAAGCGAUACAUGUGAAACCAUGACAACAGGAUCUACAUAUAC